AAGUCGUAACAAGGUAACCGUAGGUGAACCUGCGGUUGGAUCAUUACUGAUUUCUCUUCCUUUUCCAUCUCCUGCCUCUUUCUUUCAAAGGGUGUAGUUUCAGAGGUGGUCUAGGGAGAAUCAACCCCUUGUGCAACAUGAUGUUUUUUUGGGUCUUUUCCCUUUCUCUUCUCACCACCUUCACUUCAUUGACUUGAGGGGGGGAGGGAGAGAAAGAGAGGGCCCAAUCUUAUAUAUAAACCCCCUUAAAAAUGUAGUCUUAUCAUAUGAAAAAAUCAUAAACAACUUUUGACAACGGAUCUCUUGGCUCUC
Molecule: unclassified non-coding RNA, 312 nt
Filed under: fungal sp.
Lineage: Eukaryota; Fungi
Description: partial internal transcribed spacer region
Rfam family: Eukaryotic small subunit ribosomal RNA (bases 1-46)
Source: RNAcentral